RNAcentral lists this ribosomal RNA (1621 nucleotides) under Salmonella enterica. RNAcentral's name for it is "partial 23S ribosomal RNA". It matches the Rfam family "Bacterial large subunit ribosomal RNA", at positions 1200 to 2802 of the family's 2925-position model. The record is from RNAcentral. Lineage: Bacteria; Pseudomonadati; Pseudomonadota; Gammaproteobacteria; Enterobacterales; Enterobacteriaceae.
CUGCGGCAGCGACGCUGAUGCGUUGUUGGGUAGGGGAGCGUUCUGUAAGCCUGCGAAGGUGGCCUGUGAGGGUUGCUGGAGGUAUCAGAAGUGCGAAUGCUGACAUAAGUAACGAUAAAGCGGGUGAAAAGCCCGCUCGCCGGAAGACCAAGGGUUCCUGUCCAACGUUAAUCGGGGCAGGGUGAGUCGACCCCUAAGGCGAGGCCGAAAGGCGUAGUCGAUGGGAAACGGGUUAAUAUUCCCGUACUUGGUGUUACUGCGAAGGGGGGACGGAGAAGGCUAUGUUGGCCGGGCGACGGUUGUCCCGGUUUAAGCGUGUAGGUGUGUGUUCCAGGUAAAUCCGGUUCACUUUAACACUGAGGCGUGAUGACGAGGCACUACGGUGCUGAAGCAACAAAUGCCCUGCUUCCAGGAAAAGCCUCUAAGCAUCAGGUAACAUCAAAUCGUACCCCAAACCGACACAGGUGGUCAGGUAGAGAAUACCAAGGCGCUUGAGAGAACUCGGGUGAAGGAACUAGGCAAAAUGGUGCCGUAACUUCGGGAGAAGGCACGCUGACAUGUAGGUGAAGUGAUUUACUCAUGGAGCUGAAGUCAGUCGAAGAUACCAGCUGGCUGCAACUGUUUAUUAAAAACACAGCACUGUGCAAACACGAAAGUGGACGUAUACGGUGUGACGCCUGCCCGGUGCCGGAAGGUUAAUUGAUGGGGUCAGCGCAAGCGAAGCUCCUGAUCGAAGCCCCGGUAAACGGCGGCCGUAACUAUAACGGUCCUAAGGUAGCGAAAUUCCUUGUCGGGUAAGUUCCGACCUGCACGAAUGGCGUAAUGAUGGCCAGGCUGUCUCCACCCGAGACUCAGUGAAAUUGAACUCGCUGUGAAGAUGCAGUGUACCCGCGGCAAGACGGAAAGACCCCGUGAACCUUUACUAUAGCUUGACACUGAACAUUGAGCCUUGAUGUGUAGGAUAGGUGGGAGGCUUUGAAGUGUGGACGCCAGUCUGCAUGGAGCCGACCUUGAAAUACCACCCUUUAAUGUUUGAUGUUCUAACGUGGACCCGUAAUCCGGGUUGCGGACAGUGUCUGGUGGGUAGUUUGACUGGGGCGGUCUCCUCCUAAAGAGUAACGGAGGAGCACGAAGGUUGGCUAAUCCUGGUCGGACAUCAGGAGGUUAGUGCAAUGGCAUAAGCCAGCUUGACUGCGAGCGUGACGGCGCGAGCAGGUGCGAAAGCAGGUCAUAGUGAUCCGGUGGUUCUGAAUGGAAGGGCCAUCGCUCAACGGAUAAAAGGUACUCCGGGGAUAACAGGCUGAUACCGCCCAAGAGUUCAUAUCGACGGCGGUGUUUGGCACCUCGAUGUCGGCUCAUCACAUCCUGGGGCUGAAGUAGGUCCCAAGGGUAUGGCUGUUCGCCAUUUAAAGUGGUACGCGAGCUGGGUUUAGAACGUCGUGAGACAGUUCGGUCCCUAUCUGCCGUGGGCGCUGGAGAACUGAGGGGGGCUGCUCCUAGUACGAGAGGACCGGAGUGGACGCAUCACUGGUGUUCGGGUUGUCAUGCCAAUGGCACUGCCCGGUAGCUAAAUGCGGAAGAGAUAAGUGCUGAAAGCAUCUAAGCACGAAACUUGCCCCGA